RNAcentral lists this microRNA precursor (136 nucleotides) under Theobroma cacao (cacao). RNAcentral describes it as "miR399a stem-loop (tcc-MIR399a)". Its record names the gene tcc-MIR399a. The record is from miRBase by way of RNAcentral. Lineage: Eukaryota; Viridiplantae; Streptophyta; Magnoliopsida; Malvales; Malvaceae.
AUCACUAAGUGAUCUAGUUGUAGGGCUUCUCUCCUUUGGCAGGUUAUGUUCAUCGAAAAUAAAUCAAGAUCUAAUUCUUCUAUUCAACAAUAACUCGCCAAAGGAGAGUUGCCCUGUAACUGAUUCGACUUAAUAA